This 214-nucleotide long non-coding RNA is filed under the name Capsicum annuum. RNAcentral's name for it is "long non-coding RNA (CANN_LNC007581)". Lineage: Eukaryota; Viridiplantae; Streptophyta; Magnoliopsida; Solanales; Solanaceae. The record is from RNAcentral.
AUGAAUUUAAAGAAAGACUGCUCCUACCACUUAUGAUUCAGCCAGAACAGAAGCAAUUAUCAACAACUCAGUAUUCAGCGGUACCUGCUAAAUUAUCAUGAUGAAAUGAUUUUAGGCUUAAUGGAUAUAUCAAUUUUCGACGGAUACGCCAUUAAUGUCAUCUAUAGUUCUUAUGCUAAGUAGUUAGAUGGAUCAACAGACGAAAUCAGCAAAC